RNAcentral lists this ribosomal RNA (274 nucleotides) under uncultured bacterium. RNAcentral describes it as "partial 16S ribosomal RNA". It matches the Rfam family "Bacterial small subunit ribosomal RNA", at positions 523 to 796 of the family's 1533-position model. The record is from RNAcentral.
AUACGAAGGGUGCGAGCGUUAAUCGGAAUUACUGGGCGUAAAGCGCGCGUAGGCGGUUGGAUAAGUCGGAUGUGAAAGCCCCGGGCUCAACCUGGGAAUUGCAUUCGAAACUGUCCGGCUAGAGUAUGAUAGAGGGAAGCGGAAUUCCACAUGUAGCGGUGAAAUGCGUAGAUAUGUGGAGGAACACCAGUGGCGAAGGCGGCUUCCUGGACCAAUACUGACGCUGAGGUGCGAAAGCGUGGGGAGCAAACAGAAUUAGAUACCCUAGUAGUCC